Molecule: ribosomal RNA, 1185 nt
Filed under: uncultured bacterium
Lineage: Bacteria
Description: bacterial SSU rRNA
Rfam family: Bacterial small subunit ribosomal RNA
Source: RNAcentral
AACCUGUCGCAAAGGGAUAGGCCCGAGUCCUAUCAGCUAGUUGGUGAGGUAACGGCUCACCAAGGCUUACGGGUAGCUGGUCUGAGAGGAUGAUCAGCCACACUGGGACUGAGACACUGCCCAGACUCCUACGGGAGGCUGCAGUCGAGAAUCAUUGUCAAUGCACGAAAGUGUGAACAUGCGACGCCGCGUGGAGGAAGACGGCCUUCGGGUUGUAAACUCCUGUCAGCAGGGAGUAAGGAUCGUGUAGUUAAUACCUACACUGUUUGAUAGUACCUGCAGAGGAAGUCACGGCUAACUCUGUGCCAGCAGCCGCGGUAAUACAGAGGUGGCGAACGUUGUUCGGAUUUACUGGGCGUAAAGGGUCCGCAGGCGGCCCGGUGUGUCGGAUGUGAAAGCUCACAGCUCAACUGUGGAAUUGCAUUCGAAACUGCCGGGCUAGAGUACUGGAGGGGAGAAGGGAACACUUGGUGUAGCGGUGAAAUGCGUAGAUAUCAAGUGGAACANNCCGGCGGCGAAGGCGCUUCUCUGGACAGAUACUGACGCUCAUGGACGAAAGUUAGGGUAGCGAAAGGGAUUAGAUACCCCUGUAGUCCUAACCGUAAACGGUGUGCACUAGGCGUGGGUGGCUUUACCCCCAUCCGUGCCUGAGCUAACGCAUUAAGUGCACCGCCUGGGAGANGUNACGGUCGCAAGAUUAAAACUCAAAGGAAUUGACGGGGACCCGCACAAGCGGUGGAGCAUGUGGCUUAAUUCGAUGCAACGCGAAGAACCUUACCUGGGCUUGACAUAUAGCUGCAUACGACCCGAAAGGGACGUAGCCUUCGAGGGUGCUAUACAGGUGCUGCAUGGCUGUCGUCAGCUCGUGCCGUGAGGUGUUGGGUUAAGUCCCGCAACGAGCGCAACCCCUGUGUUUAGUUGCCAGCACGUAAUGGUGGGAACUCUAAACAGACUGCUUGUGAAAGCAAGAGGAAGGUGGGGAUGACGUCAAGUCAGUAUGGUCCUUAUGUCCAGGGCUGCACACGUGCUACAAUGGGAUGUACAAUGGGAGGCUAAGCCGCGAGGUGGAGCAAAUCCUCAAAACAUCCCCCAGUUCGGAUCGUAGUCUGAAACUCGACUGCGUGAAGUUGGAAUCGCUAGUAAAGGCGUAUCAGCUACGACGCCUUGAAUACGUUCCCGGGUCUU